CCCUUAGAUGUUCUGGGCCGCACGCGUGCUACACUGAGUAAUUCAAUGGGUAAGGGAACGCUAGAGCAUUACCUAAUCUUGAAAUUUGCUCGUGAUGGGGAUCGACGGUUGCAAUUUUCCGUCGUGAACGAGGAAUACCUUGUAGGCGCAUGUCAUCAUCAUGCGCCGAAUACGUCCCUGCCCUUUGUACACACCGCCCGUCGCUCCUACCGAUUGAGUGAUCCGGUGAGGCUCUGGGACCUGGACGGGAAGAGCGUUUCGCUUGUUCUGUUUGGGAAACUUGGUCGAACCUUAUCAUUUAGAGGAAGGAGAAGUCGUAACA
Molecule: ribosomal RNA, 322 nt
Filed under: uncultured eukaryote
Lineage: Eukaryota
Description: partial 18S ribosomal RNA
Rfam family: Eukaryotic small subunit ribosomal RNA
Source: RNAcentral